AACUGUUCCUGUUGCUGAAGUAGUCAGCCAGGCAAUAGGAGGGGUGUAUGGGACCACGUUAGGAAACAUUGGAUCUUUGUAUCAACUUCAUUGAGAAGACUGUACCCUGUUAAACCUGACCUGCGAAUCCUAUGUGAAACUGUGUAACCUGCCUGUGGUGGAAAAUAAAGGCUUUGGCUAAUUACAUCAUCAGCUCUUCUACUGUUGCAAGGGAUUCUGACAAUUUGAUUUUGCACGGGUCUAUUUAUGUACUGCAGCAGAGAAAAGACUUCUCCAGCGGCACUCCCACUCCGUGCCUGAAUCAUGAGUGCGAUUCAUGAAGGAACAGAAACCUCUGCUUUCUGCUUCACCAUGGAGUUCAGAUUUGCCAUAUCAGGAUGGCACAACUUGAACUGUAGUGAGGUAACUGCACGGAAGCUCAAUGCUUCGGAUCUCCCUGUCCGGCACCUGGUGGUAGCUCUGCCCACUAACUUCCCAGAGCCCCUACAGCCUCCCGGGACCUCAGGAGCCAGCGCAUGUGCAGAGUGGACACGACGGCUGAAUCCAACACUGCAGAGGGGGACCGCAGGAGAAGUUGGCCACGCUGGAGCCUGAGAUACUGCAACGCAUUGCCGGAGAGUUGAUUAUACAUAAAUUGCUACUUAUCACAGCUAUAUAUCGCAUUGAACUGAUGCGAUGUAUAGUGAUAAGUAACAAUUCCAUUUUCUUUUUUCUCAUGAAUAGACCCCUUACUGUUAUGUGUGUGAAAUGCAUUCUGUGUUCUUGCUUUGUACUCACAGUGAAGCCACACUUCAUCAUAUUCCUGGCACAUCUGCUCCUGUUAUUUUCAGGUGGCGGUGGAGUGCAUUUGCUAUCUAUGCAACUUUGGUUUUAUCAUAUGUUUGUGACAAACUCUGCAAAGAUAGCAAUAUGCGCUUUAUUUUCUUUACCAUUGCAUGUUACAUUACUGCUUAGGAACAAAUUGCAUUCAACUCCUAUGGAGAUCCAGUAAUACCUCAUACUACACCAAGGCAGGGGUGUAUCUAGAGAGGAGGUGACCUGUGUGCAGGCUCUGUCUGGGCCCCCCUCUGUAGCCGGCAGCGAUGUCCCAGAGUCUAGAGCGCAUGCCAAAUCUCAGAGAAAUAUUGCACUGCGGCGAUUUUCCCAGUGGUUUUUCUACUGCGCAUGUGCAAAACACUGUGAAAAUGGCACCACAGCAUUUUCCCAGUGAUUUCUGCACCGCACACACUGCAUCCAUUAUAAAUACACCAGUGCACCAAGGGGUAAAUUUACUAUCAAUUGUGUUUGCCCGAGGUUUACUAAAGGCAAACAUGGUAGGUAAUCUUUAUUUGAACUGCAAAACACAGACAAAUCUGCAAAUAGAAGUCAAUAGUAGUCAUUCCGAGUUGUUUGCUCGCUGACGAUUUUCGCAGUGCAGCGAUUAAGUGAAAAAAUGGCAAAAAUGCACAUGCGCAUGGUACGCAGUGCGCAUGCGCUAAGUACUUUCACACAAAACUUUGUAGAUUUACACAAGCUCGAGCGAUGUUUUUUCAUUGCUUGAGUGAUCGUAGUGUGAUUGACAG
This is a long non-coding RNA of Pseudophryne corroboree (corroboree frog), 1562 nucleotides long. RefSeq lists it as uncharacterized. The transcript has 3 exons. Lineage: Eukaryota; Metazoa; Chordata; Amphibia; Anura; Myobatrachidae. The record is from RefSeq and is a predicted model, not a curated record.